RNAcentral lists this ribosomal RNA (253 nucleotides) under uncultured bacterium. RNAcentral's name for it is "partial 16S ribosomal RNA". It matches the Rfam family "Bacterial small subunit ribosomal RNA", at positions 524 to 776 of the family's 1533-position model. The record is from RNAcentral.
UACGAAGGGGGCUAGCGUUGUUCGGAAUUACUGGGCGUAAAGGGCGCGUAGGCGGCCUGCUAAGUCACACGUGAAAUCCCUCGGCUCAACCGGGGAACUGCGUGUGAUACUGGCGGGCUUGAAUUCGGGAGAGGGAUGUGGAAUUCCAGGUGUAGCGGUGAAAUGCGUAGAUAUCUGGAGGAACACCGGUGGCGAAGGCGGCAUCCUGGACCGAGAUUGACGCUGAGGCGCGAAAGCUAGGGGAGCAAACGGG